RNAcentral lists this transfer RNA (85 nucleotides) under Kastovskya adunca ATA6-11-RM4. RNAcentral describes it as "tRNA-Ser". It matches the Rfam family "tRNA". Rfam says of the family: Transfer RNA (tRNA) molecules are approximately 80 nucleotides in length. Their secondary structure includes four short double-helical elements and three loops (D, anti-codon, and T loops). Lineage: Bacteria; Bacillati; Cyanobacteriota; Cyanophyceae; Coleofasciculales; Coleofasciculaceae. RNAcentral also lists the same sequence under 1 other name. The record is from RNAcentral.
GGAGAGGUGGCAGAGCGGUUGAAUGCGGCGCACUCGAAAUGCGCUUUGGCGAAAGCCAACGGGGGUUCGAAUCCCCCCCUCUCCG